UGAGUAAUAAUUGUGUCAUUUUUGUUCCAGGUUAUAAUGCUAGCAGGUAGCUUAGUGCCCACGUGAAGUAGAUGCCCAACAAAUGUUGACUGAGUGAAUAAGUGAAGUGAUUUCUCAAUGAGGGUAACUCUCACAUUCUGAGUUUAUGUACAUCACUCCAUUAUAGGAGGAAAAUCAUAAUUCAACAAGAUGUGAGGUGAUUUAAAAUGCGGUGACUUAAAGGUGACUUUAAGGAUAAUCUAGAAUGAAUAUACACGGAGAAGUUUUGAAGAUCCAGACUUCAGCCUGAAGCAGAGAUGGCCUUGGGAACUUGAAGAUCCAUAGUAUGUUUUUAUGUACUGUACUGACAGUACAAACUACUGCAACUGAACCUUGAGGGGAUAUGGAGAAUGCCAAGACAUCCUGCAUGCUUUCCGAGAGUACAGUCUAUGAAGGGGAGCUGAAAGAUCCAAGCAGACCAAAAUGAAGAAAAUGAAGGCAAUGCCAUAAGUGACAUUCAAGCAGAGAAAACAUUUGUAUUCUGCAAGGUCCCAGAGGAACUGUGUGCCUGUAGCCAAACACAGCCAAGAAACAAGGGAAAUCAGCACUCUCAGAAAUUUGAUAGAAGUCAUGUGCAAAAAAAAAAUUCAAUCUUGAAUAUGUUUUGGAUAAGUGUUGUGUGGAGACGGGAGUUUGAGAGACUAUGUGGUAAAUACAAAACAGAAUUUUCUGCAUACUUUAGUCGCCAAAUGGAUUAUUAACCUGAAGUGUUAAUGAGUUCUUCAGAAUUACUGCCAAGCAUCGCAGAGUAUGAGGCAUUUAAAGGCAUUUGGUGCACCACAGCCUGUGAACUCAAGGCAUUAACUUUCUGGAAGGCUGCUGCCUGGUCACAGGAGGGAGGACAGUGUGAAGGGUCCUGCAGCCGUGGUUCUGAGGUCUGAAGGAAGGAGCACGGCGGGGUUCUAUGUUAUAAUUAAACUGGAACAGAAAACUGACCUCCUUUCUAACAUCAUUCUUCCUUGAUUCAAGUCUUGUAUCUUUUUAUUUCAUGCUUUUCACAUUGGAUAGUGUAAAACAAAAGCAUGUUUCAAGAAUGAUAACAAUUGUUGCCAACUAUUUAUGAAACUUAUGAUGGAUCAAGUAUUUACAUGUGUUAAAGCCAUUUGUUUUUCACAUCCACAAAGAACAAAAUAAAAUAUAGAAUAUAAAACAUUAAAAUAAAGAAAAAUUUCAUAACCAUAUUACAAGGCUGUGAAUCUUCCUUCUGUGAAUUUAGUUUUCUUGUCCUGUUCCUUUAUGCGUAGGGUAAUUGAGUACAAAAGUAGCCUUGAUGAGAAAUUGCUUCCUUACAAAUUAAAACAAAGAUAACAUUUCUGCUGAACUGUCCUUUAAACAGUAUGUGCUGGAUUCAACCAAGACAGCCUUGCAAGAUCUGAGUACAAAAUAUGCAGGUACUUUACGAACCAGUUGUUAAUCACAGCCAUUAUUUAAAGGUAAAUUAUAUAUUAAAAAUUAAAUAAAUUAUUCUCAAUAAAGAAAGGUGAUAAAUCUCAGACUUCACUAUUAUUUUUUGCUGAGUAUUUGAGGCUGCUUGAAUGUGCCGGCGCAAUUUAAUGUUGUGUUAUAUCCCAUGUUUUCCCAUCUAUGAACUGAACAAUAUCUCUUCUGUGAUUUGAAGUCAGCCAUGUGAGGAUAUUUGCACUAUGGAAAUCUACAACUGCAAUGAAAAGAGUUUUAUUUAUUGUUUUGUUGAUUGUCUAGACUUAAAAUGAUGAAGAAAAUGUUAAUAAUAAGGAUUAAACUUAAAAAGUGUAUCAUGUCAGUGCAGAAACUGAAAGAAGUUUCAAUUUAAUGAAUGAGAUUUAUGUGCCAGUCAAAACCGGUUUAAUUAUAGAUCACUAUCACGUUAAAUGAUGACUGUAUUGGGAAAAGGAUUACUGGAUUGGGAUACAGUUCUAUUUGCUAAAUCAUGAUUGAAUUGGUUAGCUAUAGAUAAAAAGCUUUGUCAAAAAGUCAUGAAUGUGUUCAGUGAGAAUAAACUGGAACUGAA
This is a long non-coding RNA of Cavia porcellus (domestic guinea pig), 2029 nucleotides long. RefSeq lists it as uncharacterized. The transcript has 4 exons. NCBI's taxonomy places the organism in Eukaryota, Metazoa, Chordata, Mammalia, Rodentia, Caviidae. The record is from RefSeq and is a predicted model, not a curated record.